UGGGGAAUAUUGCACAAUGGGCGCAAGCCUGAUGCAGCAACGCCGCGUGAGGGAUGACGGCCUUCGGGUUGUAAACCUCUUUUAGCAGGGAAGGAGCGAAAGUGACGGUACCUGCAGAAAAAGCGCCGGCUAACUACGUGCCAGCAGCCGCGGUAAUACGUAGGGCGCAAGCGUUAUCCGGAAUUAUUGGGCGUAAAGAGCUCGUAGGCGGUUUGUCGCGUCUGCUGUGAAAUCCCGAGGCUCAACCUCGGGUCUGCAGUGGGUACGGGCAGACUAGAGUGCGGUAGGGGAGAUUGGAAUUCCUGGUGUAGCGGUGGAAUGCGCAGAUAUCAGGAGGAACACCGAUGGCGAAGGCAGAUCUCUGGGCCGUAACUGACGCUGAGGAGCGAAAGGGUGGGGAGCAAACAGGCUUAGAUACCCUGGUAGUCCACCCCGUAAACGUUGGGAACUAGUUGUGGGGUCCAUUCCACGGAUUCCGUGACGCAGCUAACGCAUUAAGUUCCCCGCCUGGGGAGUACGGCCGCAAGGCC
Molecule: ribosomal RNA, 530 nt
Filed under: uncultured bacterium
Lineage: Bacteria
Description: partial 16S ribosomal RNA
Rfam family: Bacterial small subunit ribosomal RNA
Source: RNAcentral